UAGGGAAUCUUCGGCAAUGGGGGGAACCCUGACCGAGCAACGCCGCGUGAGUGAAGAAGGUUUUCGGAUCGUAAAGCUCUGUUGUUAAGGAAGAACGAGUGUGAGAAUGGAAAGUUCAUGCUGUGACGGUACUUAACCAGAAAGGGACGGCUAACUACGUGCCAGCAGCCGCGGUACUACGUAGGUCCCGAGCGUUGUCCGGAUUUAUUGGGCGUAAAGCGAGCGCAGGCGGUUAGAAAAGUCUGAAGUGAAAGGCGGUGGCUCAACCAUUGUAGACUUUGUAAACUGUUUAGCUUGAGUGCAGAAGGGGAGAGGAGAAUUCCAUGUGUAGCGGUGAAAUGCGUAGAUAUAUGGAGGAACACCGGUAGCUGAAGCGGCUCUCUGGUCUGUAACUGACGCUGAGGCUCGAAAGCGUGGGGAGCGAACAGG
This 429-nucleotide ribosomal RNA is filed under the name Verrucomicrobiota bacterium. Its description in RNAcentral is "Verrucomicrobia bacterium partial 16S ribosomal RNA". It matches the Rfam family "Bacterial small subunit ribosomal RNA", at positions 355 to 776 of the family's 1533-position model. The record is from RNAcentral. Lineage: Bacteria; Pseudomonadati; Verrucomicrobiota.